This 1260-nucleotide long non-coding RNA is filed under the name Taeniopygia guttata (zebra finch). RNAcentral describes it as "lncRNA (ENSTGUG00000028973.1)". The record is from RNAcentral. Lineage: Eukaryota; Metazoa; Chordata; Aves; Passeriformes; Estrildidae.
AUGGGAUUUUUGGGGAAAAAUGGGAUUUUUGGGGGGAAAAAUGGGAUUUUGGGGGAAAAAUGGGAUUUUGGGGAAAAAAAAUGGGAUUUUUGGGGGGAAAAAUGGGAUUUUUGGGGGGAAAAAAUGGGAUUUUUGGAGGUGGCUGUGGAGAUUUUUGGGGAAAAAUGGGAUUUUGGGGAAAAAUGGGAUUUUGGGGGGAAAAUGGGAUUUUGGGGGGAAAAAUGGGAUUUUUGGGGGGAAAAUGGGAUUUUUGGGGGAAAAAAUGGGAUUUUCAGGAAAAAAAUGGGAUUUUUGGGGAUGGAUUUGGAGGUUUUUUUGGGGGAAAAGGUUGAGGAUUUUGGGUGGAAUUUUGGAAUUUUUUUGGGGAAAAAUACGGAAUUUUGGGGGGAAAAAACGGGAUUUUUGGUUAAAAAAUGGGAGUUUUUGGGGGAAAAAUGGGAUUUUGGGGAAAAAUGGGAUUUUGGGGGGAAAAAUGGGAUUUUGGGGGGAAAAAAUGGGAUUUUUGGGGAAAAAAAAUGGGAUUUUUGGGGGGAAAAAUGGGAUUUUUGGGGGGAAAAAAUGGGAUUUUGGGGAAAAAAAAUGGGAUUUUUGGAGGUGGCUGUGGAGAUUUUUGGGGAAAAAUGGGAUUUUGGGGGGAAAAAAUGGGAUUUUUGGGGGGAUUUUGGGGAGGAAAAUGGGAAUUUUGGGGGGAAAAUGGGAUUUUGGGGGAAAAAUGGGAUUUUUGGGGAAAAAUGGGAUUUUGAAGGGAAAAAUGGGAUUUUUGGGGGGGAAAAAUGGGAUUUUGGGAAAAAACCAGGAUUUUGGGGGGAAAAAAAUGGGAUUUUGGGGGAAAAAAUUUGGGUUUGGGGGGAAAAAUGGGAUUUUGGGGGGAAAAAUGGGAUUUUGGGGGGAAAAAUGGGAUUUUUGGGGAAAAAAUGGGAUUUUUGGGGAUGGAUUUGGAGGUUUUUUUGGGGGAAAAGGUUGAGGAUUUGGGGUGGAAUUUGGGAUUUUUUUGAGGGGAAAUGGGGUUUUGGGGGGAAAAAUGGGAUUUUGGGGAAAAAUGGGAUUUUUGGGGGGAAAAAUGGGAAUUUGGGGGAGAAAAUGGGAUUUUGGGGGGAAAAUGGGAUUUUGGAAGGGAAAAACGGGAAUUUUGGGGGGAAAAAUGGGAUUUUGGAAGGGAAAAAUGGGAUUUUUGGGGAUGGAUUUGGAGAUUUUGGGGAGGAAAAGGUUGAGAAUUUUGGGGGAGAAUUGUGGAUUUUUGAAAGAAAAAAGAAAAUUUAG